CUGCUCGAAGAUCUUAGUGGCGGACGGGUGAGUAACGCGUGGGCAAUCUGCCCGUAAGAGGGGGAUAACACCUAGAAAUGGGUGCUAAUACCGCAUAACAUCAUAGGGUUGCAUGACCUUGUGAUCAAAGGAGAAAUCCGCUUACGGAUGAGCCCGCGUCUGAUUAGCUAGUUGGUGGGGUAACGGCCUACCAAGGCGACGAUCAGUAGCCGGCCUGAGAGGGUGAUCGGCCACACUGGAACUGAGACACGGUCCAGACUCCUACGGGAGGCAGCAGUGGGGAAUCUUCCGCAAUGGGCGAAAGCCUGACGGAGCAACGCCGCGUGAGUGAUGAAGGCCUUCGGGUUGUAAAACUCUGUCUUCAGGGAAGAAAAAAAUGACGGUACCUGAGGAGGAAGCCACGGCUAACUACGUGCCAGCAGCCGCGGUAAUACGUAGGUGGCAAGCGUUGUCUGGAAUUACUGGGCGUAAAGAGCGCGUAGGCGGGGAUUUAAGUCAGGAGUGAAAACUACCGGCCCAACCGGUAGCCUGCUCUUGAAACUGAAUCUCUUGAGGGUAUGAGAGGAAAGCGGAAUUCCCAGUGUAGCGGUGAAAUGCGUAGAUAUUGGGAGGAACACCAGUGGCGAAGGCGGCUUUCUGGCAUACAACUGACGCUGAGGCGCGAAAGCGUGGGGAGCAAACGGGAUUAGAUACCCCGGUAGUCCACGCCGUAAACGAUGGGCACUAGGUGUAGGAGGUAUCGACCCCUUCUGUGCCGUAGUUAACACAAUAAGUGCCCCGCCUGGGGAGUACGGCCGCAAGGUUGAAACUCAAAGGAAUUGACGGGGGCCCGCACAAGCGGUGGAGUAUGUGGUUUAAUUCGACGCAACGCGAAGAACCUUACCAGGGCUUGACAU
This 896-nucleotide ribosomal RNA is filed under the name uncultured bacterium. Its description in RNAcentral is "bacterial SSU rRNA". It matches the Rfam family "Bacterial small subunit ribosomal RNA", at positions 79 to 987 of the family's 1533-position model. The record is from RNAcentral.